This 71-nucleotide transfer RNA is filed under the name Amborella trichopoda. RNAcentral describes it as "tRNA AMTR_s00016t00279290". The record is from RNAcentral. Lineage: Eukaryota; Viridiplantae; Streptophyta; Magnoliopsida; Amborellales; Amborellaceae.
UUAGGUUCUAGACCUGGAAUUGACCCGGUUACAAAUCGGGUCGGAUCCGGGUCCAAAGCCCUAAACCUAAG